Long non-coding RNA from Onychostoma macrolepis, 200 nucleotides. RefSeq lists it as uncharacterized. NCBI's taxonomy places the organism in Eukaryota, Metazoa, Chordata, Actinopteri, Cypriniformes, Cyprinidae. The record is from RefSeq and is a predicted model, not a curated record. The transcript has 3 exons.
AGAAUGUAACCAUGGGAUCCUAGAAGGGGAACCUUACUACCCAGUGAAGAGGGUGAUCCGCUGCAAAAAGCAGAAGGGGAUCCAAAUGAAGUUGGUGGAAUGGGAGCCCUGUUCACUCUGUGAGAAAACUUGGCCGCCACAGUGGGUGACGGAGGAGAACACCACGAAUUAAGGAAAUGUUCAAUCCCAUUGUUUUGUUC